This 253-nucleotide ribosomal RNA is filed under the name uncultured bacterium. RNAcentral describes it as "partial 16S ribosomal RNA". It matches the Rfam family "Bacterial small subunit ribosomal RNA", at positions 524 to 776 of the family's 1533-position model. The record is from RNAcentral.
UACGAAGGGGGCUAGCGUUGCUCGGAAUCACUGGGCGUAAAGCGCACGUAGGCGGAUCGCUAAGUCAGGGGUGAAAUCCUGGAGCUCAACUCCAGAACUGCCUUUGAUACUGAAGAUCUUGAGUCCGGGAGAGGUGAGUGGAACUGCGAGUGUAGAGGUGAAAUUCGUAGAUAUUCGCAAGAACACCAGUGGCGAAGGCGGCUCACUGGCCCGGUACUGACGCUGAGGCACGAAAGCGUGGGGAGCAAACAGG